CCAAAACUUUGUAGCGUCUUGAGUAGUUUCCUACUGAAUUGAGUGAAUGUUCUUAUAUUGGUGUUCAAUACUUUCAAAGAUCUCCAAAAAUAUAUAUGUAUGAAAAUGAAUCAACAUUUUUCACUUUUUACAAAUUGUCCUUUAA
Molecule: long non-coding RNA, 145 nt
Organism: Drosophila navojoa
Lineage: Eukaryota; Metazoa; Arthropoda; Insecta; Diptera; Drosophilidae
Source: RefSeq, a predicted model, not a curated record